UUUACCCAGCAAAUAAUGUGUGUAUUUUUUAUCUAUAUUCUUUGUUUCCCUUAGGAAUACGGGUGAGGUCGUUUAAACAUGAGAUUUCCGAUUUGUAUGGUUCCUCUGGUAAUAGCCCUUCGUAAACAUUGUCUACCAAGAAAUUGAUACCUUAGUCGUUAAUGAGGCCACUAGUUAAGAUGGGCAUAAUUUUAUGGGUGUGCAGUGGAGGUCACCCGCCACCAUUACAUUAGGACACGCAUGAGUGCGGAAGUCUCCGCUUGGGUAGAUUUCAAAAGUCGUGGUGGUAUAAUGGCUUUUCGUUGGGGUUAAAUUCAUUCGCAAGCAAGCGCAUGAGUCGCCCGCCGGAUUAUGCGGCGGCGUGCAUCCGACGUCACGGUGUAGCGGAAUAUGAUUGAAAGCUUCCGCCAGGGUGGCAUAGCAAAGGAAAAGCAUCCACCGUAUGUGGUUGGGUGGUACAAGGCGUUCGCCGGGAUCGAUGCAGGCAAAUCGACUGUUCCCGGUGAAGUUUACAUAUUGGCCCACUAAAAACGGAGUGUGACCAAAAGUCAUCUAACGUAGGUACGGCGCCUGAAAGUGUGAUGUGCAGAUAGGACCUUCCAACACGCAUAGGCACGGGUAAGUUUGUCAAGCACGCAAGAUGUGCGGUUAAAUUUGAGAUGAUGGCCCACUUUUAAGAAUAUUGUCUGUUGGUAAUGGAGCGGAGUUUGUAUGUAAGCGUAGAGCGCUCGCGUGGGUGGCGGAGCGUCUUCGAUAGCACCGGUGGUGGACGUUAGACGUGCGUGGAGUGGUGGAGUUUAUCCGACGGGGUUUGUCUGUAUGGGCGCAGGAGUGUACCACGGAUCCUUCUAUCCACAGAUCUUCUUUUUUGAGCCCCCAUUGAACAGAUCGCUGGAGUGGAAUUCUGAAAAACAUGUGUGAAGAACAAGAUCUGGAGCCCGAGUAGAGAGAGACGAAGCGUGUUCCGGUUCGGGUCCCACGGAUGGCGCCAAUGAAGAAGAAUGGACCUGUGCGGGUCAAUACUUCUACGGUGAUGAAUACGGAUAUGGCCACACCUCGUCUUCUCCGCCUCAUCCUAGAUCUGCAAAUAAGAAGAAGAAAGAAAAACGGGGAUGUAGAGACG
Molecule: long non-coding RNA, 1123 nt
Filed under: Helianthus annuus (common sunflower)
Lineage: Eukaryota; Viridiplantae; Streptophyta; Magnoliopsida; Asterales; Asteraceae
Description: sRNA HanXRQr2_Chr01g0036881
Source: RNAcentral